AUGGAGCCCGCGAGGAUUUGGACCAACCCCAGUGCCACGUCCGGGCUUGUCACCGGUUACUUGUUGUCACCUUGCUGCCACGCCGGGAGCUGGAGAGGUGCCAGGGCCAGGCAGCCCUGUCCUGUCCCUCCUGUCCCUCAUCAGGACAUGCCUGGCCUGGCCCCGUCCCCCCGCAGCCCCUCUCCCCAAAUCUUCUUGGGGCUGGGGGGCUGGGGGGUGGGACUGGGGGUCCCCCCCUGCCUCGCUGUCCCCCGUCGCUCCGGCCCGGACUCGUCCCCCAGUCGUUUCUUCGUUCGUUUGUCCUGUCCGGUGCAUCCCAACCGGUCUCCUGUGUCCGUGCAGGGGGGGCGCCGUGUCCGUCCGUCUCGGCCGGCCCCGCUCCGUGUGUGCCCCCCCCAGCUCUCUGUUUGGCCGUGGCUGCGCCCUGCGGGGUCACCGUGUCCCGGUUUCGGAGAGGGACCAGCGGGGGGGUGGGGGGCCCGUUCCCCGGCCCCAUCUCCCGGCCCUCCCGCCGUCGGUAUGGGGGGGGGUCCCCCCCUUGCCUUUCAUAUACCUCAUGUUUUGGGGGUGUCUUGUAUGUGUGUACAUAGAGGUUGCGUCCUGCUGGGGGGGGGGGGCUGGUCGUGCUCCCCCCCCUUUGCCCCAAGGUCCCCCCCGUCCGACAAGAGCACCCAGGGGAUGGAGGGGGGGGCAGAGACCGCUGCUCCCCGACCCCCCCCAGCCCCGAAUCGCUCCCUAUGGGGUCGGCUCCUCCAGGUUUGCCCCCCCCCGGGUUGCGUUUCCCCCCGUGCCCGGGGGGCCGCGGGGGGCCGGCGAAGGGGGAUGGGGGGGGCACGUCUUGCUGUGAACCGUUGUGUCGUCGUCGCUGUCACCCCCCUCCCCGUGUGUGCGCGGUGCCGCCCCGCCGGAGGGGACAAUAAACGGCUGGCGGGGGACGCUCGCUGUCUCCGUCCCGUCCCUCGUCUUCUGUCCGUCUGUGUGGCCGGGCUGGUGGGGCGGGGGGGCGAUUUGUUCUACCUCGGGGGGGGGGGCAAACAACAACAACAACAACAAACAACAACAAUCUCUUUUCUCCAGGGAAACCCUCUUUUUUGGGCAGCUCUGCCGAAAAAGCAGAACUGGAGCUAUGCAAAACCCUUGCGAGCCCGGGGAGCGGGGUGGGGGGGGGACCAAGGCGGGGGUCCCCGGCCCCAGGUGCCGGAUCGACGCCUCCGCUACGACGCAGUCUUACUUUAA
Molecule: long non-coding RNA, 1236 nt
Filed under: Dromaius novaehollandiae (emu)
Lineage: Eukaryota; Metazoa; Chordata; Aves; Casuariiformes; Dromaiidae
Description: lncRNA (ENSDNVG00000004554.1)
Source: RNAcentral